RNAcentral lists this transfer RNA (73 nucleotides) under Thermoplasmata archaeon. RNAcentral's name for it is "tRNA-Arg". It matches the Rfam family "tRNA". Rfam says of the family: Transfer RNA (tRNA) molecules are approximately 80 nucleotides in length. Lineage: Archaea; Methanobacteriati; Thermoplasmatota; Thermoplasmata. The record is from RNAcentral. RNAcentral also lists the same sequence under 1 other name.
GCCCGGAUGGGGUAGCUGGAUAUCCUCGGGGCCUGCGGAGCCCUGAACCCGGGUUCGAAUCCCGGUCCGGGCA